This 367-nucleotide ribosomal RNA is filed under the name uncultured soil bacterium. RNAcentral describes it as "bacterial SSU rRNA". It matches the Rfam family "Bacterial small subunit ribosomal RNA", at positions 26 to 398 of the family's 1533-position model. The record is from RNAcentral.
AGAUUGAACGCUGGCGGAAUGCUUUACACAUGCAAGUCGAGCGGCAGCGCGGGGCAACCUGGCGGCGAGCGGCGAACGGGUGAGUAAUGCAUCGGAACAUGUCCAUGUCGUGGGGGAUAGCCCGGCGAAAGCCGGAUUAAUACCGCAUACGCCCGAGAGGGGAAAGCCGGGGACCGCAAGGCCUGGCGCGAUUGGGUUGGCCGAUGUCCGAUUAGCUAGUUGGCGGGUAAUGGCCCACCAAGGCGAUGAUCGGUAGCUGGUCUGAGAGGAUGAUCAGCCACACUGGGACUGAGACACGCCCAGACCUCCUACGGGAGCAGCAGUGGGUAAUUUUGGACGAAGUGGGGACAACCGUGACUCCGACGCC